AUUGAACGCUGGCGGCAGGCCUAACACAUGCAAGUCGAGCGGAUGAAGGGAGCUUGCUCCUGGAUUCAGCGGCGGACGGGUGAGUAAUGCCUAGGAAUCUGCCUGGUAGUGGGUGAUAACGUCCGGAAACGGGCGCUAAUACCGCAUACGUCCUGAGGGAGAAAGUGUGGGAUCUUCGGACCUCACGCUAUCAGAUGAGCCUAGGUCGGAUUAGCUAGUUGGUGGGGUAAAGGCCUACCAAGGCGACGAUCCGUAACUGGUCUGAGAGGAUGAUCAGUCACACUGGAACUGAGACACGGUCCAGACUCCUACGGGAGGCAGCAGUGGGGAAUAUUGGACAAUGGGCGAAAGCCUGAUCCAGCCAUGCCGCGUGUGUGAAGAAGGUCUUCGGACUGUAAAGCACUUUAAGUUGGGAGGAAGGGCAGUAAGUUAAUACCUUGCUGUUUUGACGUUACCAACAGAACAAGCACCGGCUAACUUCGUG
RNAcentral lists this ribosomal RNA (484 nucleotides) under uncultured bacterium. RNAcentral's name for it is "partial 16S ribosomal RNA". It matches the Rfam family "Bacterial small subunit ribosomal RNA", at positions 30 to 507 of the family's 1533-position model. The record is from RNAcentral.